GGAAGCGAUUGGCGGGCUGGUGCCCCCCUCGGUCUUCAAAAUCGCUGGGCCGUCCGUAAAGCGUGCGGCCGGUGGGUUCGAUUCCCAUUCGCUUCCGCCA
This 100-nucleotide transfer RNA is filed under the name Candidatus Anammoximicrobium sp. RNAcentral's name for it is "tRNA-Sec". It matches the Rfam family "Selenocysteine transfer RNA". Lineage: Bacteria; Pseudomonadati; Planctomycetota; Planctomycetia; Pirellulales; Pirellulaceae. The record is from RNAcentral.